CUUGCAGAGGUUAUUGGCAUUCUGUCCACCUCCAAAUCAUCCAUCUCCCAUGAACAAGAGAAGCUUACAGAUGGAGGUGGGCAUCCUGCCAACUGAACUCUGCUAG
RNAcentral lists this microRNA precursor (106 nucleotides) under Musa acuminata subsp. malaccensis (wild Malaysian banana). Its description in RNAcentral is "MIR394 microRNA precursor family". It matches the Rfam family "MIR394 microRNA precursor family". Lineage: Eukaryota; Viridiplantae; Streptophyta; Magnoliopsida; Zingiberales; Musaceae. The record is from Rfam by way of RNAcentral.